Long non-coding RNA from Oreochromis aureus, 533 nucleotides. RefSeq lists it as uncharacterized. The transcript is spliced from 3 exons. The record is from RefSeq and is a predicted model, not a curated record. Lineage: Eukaryota; Metazoa; Chordata; Actinopteri; Cichliformes; Cichlidae.
AGUUCACAACAACAUCACUAACACGUUCAAGUCUCCUGCUGAAGCUGAACGUUUUGCGGACUCACUGUAAUCGUGACCUGGCUGGGAUCGAUGCUGGUGUCUGAAAACUCUUCUGUGGAGUGGCGUAGGUCUGCAGCUCACAGGAGGAUGAUGACAGUGAGGAAGAGCCAGCAGGCUGGGAACGAUCCAGUUCAUUUUUGUGCCUGAGCAGAUAUAAGCUGGACUUCCAUCUCCUGGAUCUUCUGCAGGGCUUUCCCCGGAAGUCCAUCCUUCCACUCCUCCACCGCCCAGCUCAUGGUUUAACCUUACUAAAACAUACAUCCAUUUAUAUAAAAGUAAUGAGGUGAUGACAAGCUGAUAAAUAUAUCUACUUCAAAAUUUAUUUAUUUAUUUUUUAAAUUUAUGUUUUAUUGGUUUUUCUUAUUUAUACAACAUGAACAACAUUACAACUUAAUCACCGUGAGGGGAGGGGAAGAAAAACAACCAACAAACAGAAACAAAACAAAACACAAAAAAACACCAGCAAACAGACA